AACGAACGCUGGCGGCAUGCCUAACACAUGCAAGUCGAACGAGACCUUCGGGUCUAGUGGCGCAUGGGUGCGUAACGCGUGGGAACCUGCCCUUAGGUUCGGAAUAACUCCCCGAAAGGGGUGCUAAUACCGGAUAAUGUCUUCGGACCAAAGAUUUAUCGCCUUUGGAUGGGCCCGCGUUGGAUUAGCUAGUUGGUAGGGUAAAAGCCUACUAAGGCGACGAUCCAUAGCUGGUCUGAGAGGAUGAUCAGCCACACUGGGACUGGGACACGGCCCAGACUCCUACGGGAGGCAGCAGUGGGGAAUAGUGGACAAUGGGCGGAAGCCUGAUCCAGCAAUGCCGGGUGAAUGAUGAAGGCCUUAAGGUAGUAAAGCUCUUUUAACCGGGAUGAUAAUGACGGUACCGGGAGAAUAAGCUCCGGCUAACUCCGUG
Molecule: ribosomal RNA, 433 nt
Filed under: uncultured bacterium
Lineage: Bacteria
Description: partial 16S ribosomal RNA
Rfam family: Bacterial small subunit ribosomal RNA
Source: RNAcentral